This 3484-nucleotide long non-coding RNA is filed under the name Drosophila guanche. The record is from RNAcentral. Lineage: Eukaryota; Metazoa; Arthropoda; Insecta; Diptera; Drosophilidae.
AAAACUAUCGAUACACAACCGAUAGGACAAAAUUGCUUUGCUAUAUUUAUUGACAUUACUAAAACAUUAAAAACAAAAUCUAUACCGUACUUAAUAGUCCAAAGUUCACGUUGAGGCUGUUCCUAUUUCAAUGAAAUAAGUAAGAAUCGAGCUGCUCAGUCCAGGCAGUCGGCCAGUCAACGUGCAGAAAACCCAUUCCACCUGAUAUUUCAUCAGAAUGGGCAAAGAUUACUACCAGAUAUUGGGCAUAAACAGAAAUGCAACCAAAGAAGAGAUCAAAAAGGGCUACAGGCGGAUGGCGCUCAAAUACCAUCCGGAUAAGAACGACCACCCCCAGGCCGAGGCACAGUUUCAGGAGGUUGCGGCCGCCUUUGAGGUGCUGUCGAACAAGGAAAAACGAGACAUUUACGAUCAAUACGGAGAAGAGGGUCUCAAGUGUGGCGAUGAGCCGCAGACAUUUGCCCAGCCCACGCCAGAUAUGGUGCCCUUUAUGUGUGCGGUAGGCGGCACCGUCCUAUUUGCUUUUGCAGCAUAUAAAACAUUUCAAUUUUUCUCGAAAAAGAAAAACCCAAACGUAGAUAAAGACGAAUCCUCCUCAUCUGAUUAAAACUAUUGUAAUUUUAUUAAACGUACUUUCCGGUGUUAUUGUUAUUAAGUUAUUCAUAUAAAAAUAAACAAUUGAGUGUCAUCGAUAUUGGUCCCAAAACGAUAGACAAAAAUGGUGUCAACUCUAGAAACCAACCAGUGCAUUAUUGUGCACAAGAACUGAAAUAAGAAUUAAUAAGAUAGGCGUGGCUGUUUUAGCUAGACUCAAUAACUUUUUUGAUCAGACGAACUGAACAACGAACCCGGUGUACGUUGCAGUAUAGUAUGCGUACAAUUAGUUGAAAUAACCUAUAUCCAAACAUUAAAUUAUUUGUAAUACUUUAUUUUGGGAUAAAAUGACUGACUACCAAGAUCACUACAACAUAUUGGAAGUGAAAAAUAAGACCGAAAUGGCGAUGCCCAGACCAAGGCAUGAUGACGGCUUUAGGUCGAAUCCGUCUUAUUCCCACAAUACCUUCAACGGGAAACCGGAGACCCCAAAACGGAAAAUUACUGUAAUCAUUCUGGUCUCCAUGGUUAUUGCAUAUUUGACCAAUAAUAUGAUUAAGACCAGAGAAGCGGCUCGGGCAGCGGAGAUGGUUUUCGUCGCCAGUUCAGAAGACAAGGUUGUGGCACCGCUUGCAGCAGGAGAGGCCCCUAAAAUGGAUUAUCCGUCGUCGUCCUCACUAUCAUAAGCUACUAGUGCAGUAGCUGGCGCCACUGCACGUGGGAUAUGCCAGAUCUGGAAAUGGACUUCUUCUGUCCCAUCAGCUGCCAGUGCUGUAGCUGGCGCCACUGCUGGAGGGAUAUCCAAUAUCUGGAAGUGGGUCGCAGGAUCACUUAGUGCAGAUUCUUCAGCUACUUCUUCUGUCGCAUCAGCUGCCAGUGCUGUAGCUGGCGCCACUGCUGGAGGGAUAUCCAAUAUCUGGAAGUGGAUCGCAGGAUCACUUAGUGCAGAUUCUUCAGCUACUUCUUCUGUCGCAUCAGCUGCCAGCGCUGUAGCUGGCGCCACUGCUGGAGGGAUAUCCAAUAUCUGGAAGUGGGUCGCAGGAUCACCAAAUGCAGAUUCUUCAGCUACUUCUUCUGUCGCAUCAGCUGCCAGCGCUGUAGCUGGCGCCACUGCUGGAGGGAUAUCCAAUAUCUGGAAGUGGGUCGCAGGAUCACCAAAUGCAGAUUCUUCAGCUACUUCUUCUGUCGCAUCAGCUGCCAGUGCUGUAGCUGGCGCCACUGCUGGAGGGAUAUCCAAUAUCUGGAAGUGGGUCGCAGGAUCACCAAAUGCAGAUUCUUCAGCUACUUCUUCUGUCGCAUCAGCUGCCAGUGCUGUAGCUGGCGACACUGCUGGAGGGGUAUCCAAGAUAUGGAAGUGGGCGCGAUCACCCUUAAAAUGUUCAACUGUACUUCAGUAUAAAACACAAAAUAUUCCCACGAAAAUACGUCCAAGAAUUGUUUGCCCUGUUUACCCCAUAUAAUUUAUCUUAGUCCCAUGAUCACCAUUAUUCUCUUGUAUGGCCUUAGCCGAGCUGGCUCUGGUAUAAGAAAAAGCACGCCUACGCGACUUGAAAAAUCAUCAACAGCGAUCAAAACUACAAACAAAACAAGGAAAAUCUCAAAAAAUCAGAACACAAAAUGCCUUGUACCAAUAAGGAAUCGAAACCCGAAAAUGGGAAAGUGCUGUUAUAAGGGUUUUUGCAUACUUGAGCUAUAAAAGGGUUCAGAACCAACAGCUCCAAAGCUAGCGCCCAUGCUGGGAGGGAUAUCCAAGAUCUGGAAAUCGGCCUAUGAUUCUAUUCAUUUUUAAAAAGCUUUGAAAGCUCAAAGGAUGAAAAAGUGAUGUCAUCGAGGAAUACAACCUAAUUUUAUCUAGUGGAAAAACGUUCAAAAGUUUAAAUUUUGUAGCACAGUGUAAUUUGAACAAUAAUCGCAGCUCGACCAAUAGAUCUGUUCUAUAUUCCGAGAGGUUACCUAGCAAACAGAGAGUAAUAUAUGAAGUUAAAAUAUAAAUGACCGUGCUUCUAAACGAGCUUAAGGCCAUCAAACUGCAAAAAAAAAGGAUUUUAGAUUAAUGAUAUUUUAUUGAAUUUAGUUGCAUUUUUAAUUUGUUUAACUUAUUUGAAACCAUUUGAACAUCUUCAUGUUGCCAAGACACAGUCCCGGCUGGGCUGUUAACCAAAUUUUGUAAGAUGUUUUCCUUUUGGGACCAAGUACUGCUACACAGGGUCGUGCCAAAUACGAUGGCGACAGUUUGGACUCGAAACUAUCCAAUUUUCAAUAGGAAGGGUGCUUGGAGGCGCCGAUUCCUUGGCACGGCCUUUCUGCUCCUCCAAUCAAAGAAGGCUGCAGAUGUUAUUCCCAGACAUAUGCAAAUUCUCUGUCAUAUUUUCAAGCUGCGGAAUAUGCAAAGGGUAUCGUUUCAUGGGUUUCCAUAAAUGGACACAUAUUUAUAUGAUUUACAAGCCGGACCCGGCAAACUUAAUCAGAGUUGUCGGCGCUUAUUUCGUUGAUUGUCCUCCUUCUCCGAUCAUGCAAGAGCCGCCGAUCUCACUAAAGGUAAUUUCCUGCAUGGAUCCAUUUCCUGCAUUUAUGAAAUUUCCACACAUUUUCAACAAGGUAAACAAAGCCAAACGGGCUUCCUGAGAAGUGUAACCGUACGGAAUGCGUUUUUCACCCCUGGUCACACUCUGCUGCUAGCAAAAUAUAUUGCACAGUUUGCCAGCAACCGCGUUUUUCGAUCUGAGUACUAAACCGAUCCUACCGAUUAACAAGCAACAAUGAACACUAGUCAAUCUUGAGCAGAAAUGAUUGGUGAAUGGAACAACAUUAUAGUUUUAGUGCUGAGAGUAGUAACUAGCUGGUAGUAUUUAUCAGAAUAUCAAAAUCUAAACAUUAUUUUAGAUAUAUU